CCCGUCCGCCACCCCUCCUAGGUUCCUCCGUUCCUUCCUCCCUUGGCUCAGUGACUCACACCAUCCGCGACCGAGAUGGAUGAUUCUUUGUCUUACCAUCAAGGGAACACUCCAAGUAGCACUCCAACUUUGUCAAUUGAUGAAUCAGUGGGACAAAAAAGAAAACUUCCAAACAGUGGAUUUCCACCGAAACCAACUGCUCCAAGAUCUGAGGUAUGGAAUCAUUUCACUAAAUUGGAGGACAACAAGGAUAAGUGUAAAUGUAAUUACUGCCAUAAAGAAUUUAAGUGUGUAUCAACGAGUGGCACUAGUACAUUGAAAUCACAUAAUCAAAGAUGUGCUGCAUAUAAGGACCACCUAGAUAGUACAACUCAAAAAAAUCUAACAAUACUUGAAAGUGCAAGUGUUGUUAAAGGUGGUAGUAGUAAUCUUGUGGCGGUUGGGUUUAAUCAAGAUGCUUGUAGGAGGGCAACUGUUAAGAUGAUUAUUUUGGAUGAA
Long non-coding RNA from Ipomoea nil (Japanese morning glory), 498 nucleotides. RefSeq lists it as uncharacterized. NCBI's taxonomy places the organism in Eukaryota, Viridiplantae, Streptophyta, Magnoliopsida, Solanales, Convolvulaceae. The transcript is spliced from 2 exons. The record is from RefSeq and is a predicted model, not a curated record.